This 466-nucleotide ribosomal RNA is filed under the name uncultured bacterium. RNAcentral describes it as "partial 16S ribosomal RNA". It matches the Rfam family "Bacterial small subunit ribosomal RNA", at positions 28 to 507 of the family's 1533-position model. The record is from RNAcentral.
GAUGAACGCUGGCGGCGUGCUUAACACAUGCCAGUCGAACGGAAAGGCUCCUGCUUGCAGGGGUACUCGAGUGGCGAACGGGUGAGUAACACGUGGGUGAUCUGCCCUGCACUUCGGGAUAAGCCUGGGAAACUGGGUCUAAUACCGGAUAGGACCAUCGUUUAGUGUCGGUGGUGGAAAGUUUUUUCGGUGUGGGAUGAGCUCGCGGCCUAUCAGCUUGUUGGUGGGGUAAUGGCCUACCAAGGCGUCGACGGGUAGCCGGCCUGAGAGGGUGUACGGCCACAUUGGGACUGAGAUACGGCCCAGACUCCUACGGGAGGCAGCAGUGGGGAAUAUUGCACAAUGGGCGCAAGCCUGAUGCAGCGACGCCGCGUGGGGGAUGACGGCCUUCGGGUUGUAAACUCCUUUCGCCAGGGACGAAGCGAAAGUGACGGUACCUGGAGAAGAAGCACCGGCUAACUACGUG